RNAcentral lists this ribosomal RNA (253 nucleotides) under uncultured bacterium. RNAcentral's name for it is "partial 16S ribosomal RNA". It matches the Rfam family "Bacterial small subunit ribosomal RNA", at positions 524 to 776 of the family's 1533-position model. The record is from RNAcentral.
UACGUAGGGUGCAAGCGUUAAUCGGAAUUACUGGGCGUAAAGCGUGCGCAGGCGGCUCCUUAAGUCAGAUGUGAAAUCCCCGGGCUUAACCUGGGAACUGCGUUUGAAACUACAAGGCUAGAGUGUGACAGAGGGGGGUGGAAUUCCACGUGUAGCAGUGAAAUGCGUAGAGAUGUGGAGGAACACCGAUGGCGAAGGCAGCCCCCUGGGUUAACACUGACGCUCAGGCACGAAAGCGUGGGGAGCAAACAGG